This is a non-coding RNA of Phrynosoma platyrhinos (Desert horned lizard), 73 nucleotides long. Lineage: Eukaryota; Metazoa; Chordata; Lepidosauria; Squamata; Phrynosomatidae. The record is from the annotation of a GenBank genome assembly.
GCCAGCAUGGCAUAGUGGUUUGAGUGUUGGACUUAUGACUCUGGAGACCAGGGUUCAAGUCCCUGAUCAUCCA